Molecule: ribosomal RNA, 253 nt
Filed under: uncultured bacterium
Lineage: Bacteria
Description: partial 16S ribosomal RNA
Rfam family: Bacterial small subunit ribosomal RNA
Source: RNAcentral
UACAGAGGUCUCAAGCGUUGUUCGGAUUCAUUGGGCGUAAAGGGUGUGUAGGUGGCGCGCUAAGUCGGGUGUGAAAUCUCGGGGCUCAACCCCGAAACUGCACUUGAUACUGCGGUGCUCGAGGACUGGAGAGGAGAUCGGAAUUCAUGGUGUAGCAGUGAAAUGCGUAGAUAUCAUGAGGAAGACCAGUGGCGAAGGCGGAUCUCUGGACAGUUCCUGACACUGAGGCACGAAGGCCAGGGGAGCAAACGGG